CCUACGGGCGGCAGCAGUGAGGAAUAUUGGUCAAUGGUCGGGAGACUGAACCAGCCAAGCCGCGUGAGGGAUGAAGGUACAGAGUAUCGUAAACCUCUUUUGUCAGGGAACAAAGGCGGGGACGUGUCCCCGGAUGAGUGUACCUGAAGAAAAAGCAUCGGCUAACUCCGUGCCAGCAGCCGCGGUAAUACUGAUGAUGCGAGCGUUAUCCGGAUUUAUUGGGAUUAAAGGGUGCGCAGGCGGUCUGUUAAGUCAGUGGUCAAAGGCCGGGGCUCAACCCCGGCCCGCCGUUGAAACUGGCAGUCUCGAGUUGGAGAGAAGUAUGCGGAAUGCGCGGUGUAGCGGUGAAAUGCAUAGAUAUCGCGCAGAACUCCGAUUGCGAAGGCAGCAUGCCGGCUCCACACUGACGCUGAGGCACGAAAGCGUGGGUAUCGAACAGGAUUAGAUACCCUAGUAGUC
Molecule: ribosomal RNA, 459 nt
Filed under: uncultured bacterium
Lineage: Bacteria
Description: partial 16S ribosomal RNA
Rfam family: Bacterial small subunit ribosomal RNA
Source: RNAcentral